ACAAGAGUAUAUGCAAGGAUAUAUGUUCUCAUAAAGGAACCAAACUCAUGGUUAAAUGGGUGAUAAUCAAGGUUUGGGUGAAUAUGGCAGAGUUGGCUGAUUUGGAACAGUUGGUGGACAUGGAGCAGUAAGCAAGGAUGAUGAAGAAGAAGUGAGCAAUUAAGAUAAGCUGGAUGAAUGAUAUUUUCAUAAUUUUAUAUUUUUAUUGCUAAUUGAAUUUUUAAUUUUAAUGUGUUAAUUUUUUUGAUUU
Molecule: long non-coding RNA, 250 nt
Filed under: Lathyrus oleraceus (garden pea)
Lineage: Eukaryota; Viridiplantae; Streptophyta; Magnoliopsida; Fabales; Fabaceae
Description: Pisum sativum (pea) long non-coding RNA (PSAT_LNC028472)
Source: RNAcentral